This is a long non-coding RNA of Bubalus bubalis (water buffalo), 737 nucleotides long. RefSeq lists it as uncharacterized. The transcript is spliced from 3 exons. NCBI's taxonomy places the organism in Eukaryota, Metazoa, Chordata, Mammalia, Artiodactyla, Bovidae. The record is from RefSeq and is a predicted model, not a curated record.
GCUCUGUCUGUUCUUGCAGUCUGUGACCUCAGGGCUCCACAGCCUCCUCCCUGGGUCUGUCAAAUGGAGAAAUGCUCCUCCUGGCCAGUGAAGACAACCUCAGCUCUGUACUGUGAAACUCACAGACCCUUUGCUCUAGAACCUGUCUUAGUAAUCACCUGCAAAGCUACAAUUUUGGCAACAUGAGCUGGCAACCUAACCUAACGUUGCUGUAUCUUGGAUUAUGGAAGUGUCUUUCCACAUGUCCAAACCUGCCACAUUCUCUUCCUACCUUCCUCCGUGCUUCAUCAACAAUACCUGCUUCUUUCAACCACCCGGAUCUUCAUGUGCACCACUUAAAUGGAGCAGCCAGGAGCCAGUGUGGCCACUAAGCAUGAAAAAUGAAGCCAGUCUGAAGCAGUCUGAAGGCAACCUCCAGCAGGAAGAAGCAGAUGCAAACUUCAGAAUGUUAAGUGGCCCUGAAUGAAUAAGAACUUGGGCUAAGAAGCCAAAGCUAUUCCUAUACUGCCUGUCCUUCCAAUGCCACACUCUGGAAUGAUCCAUCUUUCAAAUUAUUAAGUAAAAGGUAGAGUGACUCACCAACUACCAGGCAGUGAGGGUAAAUCAGCCUUGUCAUAAUUUUACAGACUUCUCCUUCCGCUCAUGAAAACAAGUUAUGUAUGGUAUUUACGUACAUCUGUGUUGCUGGGCAUUUUCCAAAUGCCUCUUGGAGAACAUUAAACAGGAAAUUGAUGCCA